GACGAACGCUGGCGGCGUGCCUAAUACAUGCAAGUUGAGCGCUGAAGGUUGGUACUUGUACCAACUGGAUGAGCAGCGAACGGGUGAGUAACGCGUGGGGAAUCUGCCUUUGAGCGGGGGACAACAUUUGGAAACGAAUGCUAAUACCGCAUAAAAACUUUAAACACAAGUUUUAAGUUUGAAAGAUGCAAUUGCAUCACUCAAAGAUGAUCCCGCGUUGUAUUAGCUAGUUGGUGAGGUAAAGGCUCACCAAGGCGAUGAUACAUAGCCGACCUGAGAGGGUGAUCGGCCACAUUGGGACUGAGACACGGCCCAAACUCCUACGGGAGGCAGCAGUAGGGAAUCUUCGGCAAUGGACGAAAGUCUGACCGAGCAACGCCGCGUGAGUGAAGAAGGUUUUCGGAUCGUAAAACUCUGUUGGUAGAGAAGAAACGUUGGUGAGAAGUGGAAAAGCUC
Molecule: ribosomal RNA, 456 nt
Filed under: Lactococcus lactis
Lineage: Bacteria; Bacillati; Bacillota; Bacilli; Lactobacillales; Streptococcaceae
Description: bacterial SSU rRNA
Rfam family: Bacterial small subunit ribosomal RNA
Source: RNAcentral